This 487-nucleotide ribosomal RNA is filed under the name uncultured bacterium. RNAcentral describes it as "SSU rRNA". It matches the Rfam family "Bacterial small subunit ribosomal RNA", at positions 26 to 523 of the family's 1533-position model. The record is from RNAcentral.
AGGACGAACGCUGGCGGCGUGCCUAACACAUGCAAGUCGAACGGAGUCCAAGCGGUGGCAACACUGCUGAAGACUUAGUGGCGAACGGGUGAGUAUCACGUGAGCAACCUGCCCCGAAGACUGGGAUAACACCGGGAAACCGGUGCUAAUACCGGAUGUCCCCACCGGAUCGCAUGGUCUGGUGAGGAAAUGAAUUUCGCUUUGGGAGGGACUCGCGGCCUAUCAGCUUGUUGGUGGUGUAACGGACCACCAAGGCUUCGACGGGUAGCUGGUCUGAGAGGACGAUCAGCCACACUGGGACUGAGACACGGCCCAGACUCCUACGGGAGGCAGCAGUGGGGAAUCUUGCGCAAUGGGCGAAAGCCUGACGCAGCAACGCCGCGUGAGGGACGAAGGCCUUCUGGGUUGUAAACCUCUUUCAGCAGGGACGAUUGUGACGGUACCUGCAGAAGAAGCCCCGGCAACUACGUGCCAGCAGCCGCGGUAA